This 779-nucleotide ribosomal RNA is filed under the name uncultured Lactobacillus sp. Its description in RNAcentral is "bacterial SSU rRNA". It matches the Rfam family "Bacterial small subunit ribosomal RNA", at positions 721 to 1502 of the family's 1533-position model. The record is from RNAcentral. Lineage: Bacteria; Bacillati; Bacillota; Bacilli; Lactobacillales; Lactobacillaceae.
GCGGCUGUCUGGUCUGUAACUGACGCUGAGGCUCGAAAGUAUGGGUAGCAAACAGGAUUAGAUACCCUGGUAGUCCAUACCGUAAACGAUGAAUGCUAAGUGUUGGAGGGUUCCGCCUUUCAGUGCUGCAGCUAACGCAUUAAGCAUUCCGCUGGGGAGUACGGCCGCAAGGCUGAAACUCAAAGGAAUUGACGGGGGCCCGCACAAGCGGUGGAGCAUGUGGUUUAAUUCGAAGCUACGCGAAGAACCUUACCAGGUCUUGACAUACUAUGCAAAUCUAAGAGAUUAGACGUUCCCUUCGGGGACAUGGAUACAGGUGGUGCAUGGUUGUCGUCAGCUCGUGUCGUGAGAUGUUGGGUUAAGUCCCGCAACGAGCGCAACCCUUAUUAUCAGUUGCCAGCAUUAAGUUGGGCACUCUGGUGAGACUGCCGGUGACAAACCGGAGGAAGGUGGGGAUGACGUCAAAUCAUCAUGCCCCUUAUGACCUGGGCUACACACGUGCUACAAUGGAUGGUACAACGAGUUGCGAACUCGCGAGAGUAAGCUAAUCUCUUAAAGCCAUUCUCAGUUCGGAUUGUAGGCUGCAACUCGCCUACAUGAAGUCGGAAUCGCUAGUAAUCGCGGAUCAGCAUGCCGCGGUGAAUACGUUCCCGGGCCUUGUACACACCGCCCGUCACACCAUGAGAGUUUGUAACACCCAAAGUCGGCGGGGUAACCUUUAGGAACCAGCCGCCUAAGGUGGGACAGAUGAUUAGGGUGAAGUCGUAACAAGGUAACCA